RNAcentral lists this ribosomal RNA (246 nucleotides) under uncultured bacterium. Its description in RNAcentral is "partial small subunit ribosomal RNA". It matches the Rfam family "Bacterial small subunit ribosomal RNA", at positions 26 to 286 of the family's 1533-position model. The record is from RNAcentral.
AGAAUCAACGCUGGCGGCGUGCCUAACACAUGCAAGUCGAACGAGAAAGGGUAGCAAUACCUGAGUAAAGUGGCGCACGGGUGAGUAACACGUGACUAACCUACCCUGGAGUGGGGGAUAACUGAGGGAAACCUUAGCUAAUACCGCAUAAUACCUACGGGUCAAAGGAGCAAUUCGCUUUGGGAGGGGGUCGCGGCCGAUUAGUUAGUUGGCGGGGUAAUGGCCCACCAAGACAGUGAUCGGUAU